Ictidomys tridecemlineatus (thirteen-lined ground squirrel) is the source of this 460-nucleotide non-coding RNA. The record is from RefSeq and is a predicted model, not a curated record. Lineage: Eukaryota; Metazoa; Chordata; Mammalia; Rodentia; Sciuridae.
CUCUGGAGGCGCGGCUGGCCCCUCCCCGCUUUUGCAGCUGCUGGGGGCCGGGAGCCGGCUGGAUGCGGUACCUGUCUCUGAAAUCUCUCAGCGGUCUCCCACGCUUCCUUACAUCCACUGCUCCAAACCUCCCCUCUUACCGCUGCACCGUUCUGAUGGUCUUCUCACCACCCUCUGCCAGAUAGUACUGAUCAAGCUGAAUCAUCUGUCCCUCCUCUGUACAAGGCCUGGCACAUUGCCUAAGGUAGAGCAGGCUCACUUCUUGGUUGAAUGAACAAAUAGCUCAAAUAGCAUAUGCAAAGAAAACAAGAAAGAUGAGAGUGCUCCUAAUAUUCAUUCAAUCUGAAGACAAAGAAAAAAAAAAGAAGACAAGAAAUGGAUUUUGAAUCCUUUUUUUAUAUUCUUAUUUGUAUGUGUAUGUGUCCCUAUAUGAGGCACUAAUAAAACUGAUGAUUAUCCA